This 464-nucleotide ribosomal RNA is filed under the name uncultured bacterium. RNAcentral's name for it is "bacterial SSU rRNA". It matches the Rfam family "Bacterial small subunit ribosomal RNA", at positions 330 to 792 of the family's 1533-position model. The record is from RNAcentral.
GCCAGACUCCUACGGGAGGCAGCAGUGAGGAAUAUUGGUCAAUGGGCGGGAGCCUGAACCAGCCAAGCCGCGUGAGGGAAGAAGGUACAGCGUAUCGUAAACCUCUUUUGUCAGGGAACAAAGGCGGGGACUAGUCCCCGGAUGAGGGUACCUGAAGAAAAAGCAUCGGCUAACUCCGUGCCAGCAGCCGCGGUAAUACGGAGGAUGCGAGCGUUAUCCGGAUUUAUUGGGUUUAAAGGGUGCGCAGGCGGCCUGUUAAGUAGGGGGAAAAGGCCGGGGGCCAACCCCGGGCGAGCCGUUGAAACUGGCGGGCUGGAGUUGGAGAGAAGUACGCGGAAUGCGCGGUGUAGCGGUGAAAUGCUUAGAUAUCGCGCAGAACCCCGAUUGCGAAGGCAGCAUACCGGCGCCCAACUGACGCUGAAGCACGAAAGCGUGGGUAUCGAACAGGAUUAGAUACCCUCGUA